This 253-nucleotide ribosomal RNA is filed under the name uncultured bacterium. RNAcentral describes it as "partial 16S ribosomal RNA". It matches the Rfam family "Bacterial small subunit ribosomal RNA", at positions 524 to 776 of the family's 1533-position model. The record is from RNAcentral.
UACAGAGGGGGCAAGCGUUGUUCGGAAUUACUGGGCGUAAAGGGCGCGUAGGUGGCCUUCUAAGUCAGACGUGAAAUCCCCGGGCUCAACCCGGGAACUGCGUCUGAGACUGGAAGGCUCGAAUCCGGGAGAGGGAUGCGGAAUUCCAGGUGUAGCGGUGAAAUGCGUAGAUAUCUGGAGGAACACCGGUGGCGAAGGCGGCAUCCUGGACCGGCAUUGACGCUGAGGCGCGAAAGCCAGGGGAGCAAACGGG